GAUGAACGCUGGCGGUAUGCUUAACACAUGCAAGUCGAACGGACUCUUCGGAGUUAGUGGCGGACGGGUGGGUAACGCGUGAGAAUCUGGCUUUGGGUUCGGGACAACCACUGGAAACGGUGGCUAAUACCGGAUGUGCCGAGAGGUAAAAGAGAAAUUGCCUGAAGAUGAGCUCGCGUCUGAUUAGCUAGUUGGUGAGGUAAAGGCUCACCAAGGCAGCGAUCAGUAGCUGGUCUGAGAGGAUGACCAGCCACACUGGGACUGAGACACGGCCCAGACUCCUACGGGAGGCAGCAGUGGGGAAUUUUCCGCAAUGGGCGAAAGCCUGACGGAGCAAUACCGCGUGAGGGAAGAAGGCUCUUGGGGUGUAAACCUCUUUUCUUAGGGAAGAACAAAAUGACGGUACCUAAGGAAUCAGCAUCGGCUAACUCCGUG
This 435-nucleotide ribosomal RNA is filed under the name uncultured bacterium. Its description in RNAcentral is "partial 16S ribosomal RNA". It matches the Rfam family "Bacterial small subunit ribosomal RNA", at positions 28 to 507 of the family's 1533-position model. The record is from RNAcentral.